UACAAGACGGUAUACCACAGA
RNAcentral lists this non-coding RNA (21 nucleotides) under Arabidopsis thaliana (thale cress). The record is from RNAcentral. Lineage: Eukaryota; Viridiplantae; Streptophyta; Magnoliopsida; Brassicales; Brassicaceae.